AGUGAGCGCUGGCGGCAGGCCUAACACAUGCAAGUCGAACGGCAGCACAAGAGAGCUUGCUCUCUGGGUGGCGAGUGGCGGACGGGUGAGGAAUGCAUCGGAAUCUGCCCAUUUGUGGGGGAUAACCUCGGGAAACCGGGACUAAUACCGCAUACGACCUACGGGUGAAAGCAGGGGAUCUUCGGACCUUGCGCAGAUGGAUGAGCCGAUGCCGGAUUAGCUAGUUGGAGGGGUAAAGGCCCACCAAGGCGACGAUCCGUAGCUGGUCUGAGAGGGUGAUCAGCCACACUGGGACUGAGACACGGCCCAGACUCCUACGGGAGGCAGCAGUGGGGAAUAUUGGACAAUGGGCGCAAGCCUGAUCCAGCCAUGCCGCGUGUGUGAAGAAGGCCUUCGGGUUGUAAAGCACUUUUGUUGGGAAAGAAAAGCAGCCGGUUAAUACCCGGUUGUCAUGACGGUACCCAAAGAAUAAGCACCGGCUAACUUCGUG
This 490-nucleotide ribosomal RNA is filed under the name uncultured bacterium. RNAcentral describes it as "partial 16S ribosomal RNA". It matches the Rfam family "Bacterial small subunit ribosomal RNA", at positions 29 to 507 of the family's 1533-position model. The record is from RNAcentral.